This 252-nucleotide ribosomal RNA is filed under the name uncultured bacterium. RNAcentral describes it as "partial 16S ribosomal RNA". It matches the Rfam family "Bacterial small subunit ribosomal RNA", at positions 524 to 776 of the family's 1533-position model. The record is from RNAcentral.
UACAGAGGGUGCAAGCGUUGCUCGGAUUUACUGGGCGUAAAGCGUACGCAGACGGUGAGGCAAGUCGGGUGUGAAAGCCCCGGGCUCAACCCGGGAACUGCAUUCGAUACUACUUCGCUCGAGUAUGAGAGAGGAAAGCGGAAUUCCUGGUGUAGAGGUGAAAUUCGUAGAUAUCAGGAGGAACACCGGCGGCGAAGGCGGCUUCUGGCUCAUUACUGACGUUCAGGUACGAAAGCGUGGGUAGCAAACAGG